AUUGAACGCUGGCGGCAGGCCUAACACAUGCAAGUCGAACGGUAACAGGAAACAGCCUGCUGUUUCGCGGACGAGUGGCGGACGGGUGAGUAAUGUCUAGGAAACUGCCUGAUGGAGGGGGAUAACUACUGGAAGCGGUAGCUAAUACCGCAUAACGUCGCAAGACCAAAGAGGGGGACCUUCGGGCCUCUUGCCAUCGGAUGUGCCCAGAUGGGAUUAGCUGGUAGGUGAGGUAACGGCUCACCUAGGCGACGAUCCCUAGCUGGUCUGAGAGGAUGACCAGCCACACUGGAACUGGGACACGGUCCAGACUCCUACGGGAGGCAGCAGUGGGGAAUAUUGCACAAUGGGCGCAAGCCUGAUGCAGCCAUGCCGCGUGUAUGAAGAAGGCCUUCGGGUUGUAAAGUACUUUCAGCGAGGAGGAAGGCGAUAAGGUUAAUAACCUUGUCGAUUGACGUUACUCGCAGAAGAAGCACCGGCUAACUCCGUGCCAGCCGCCGCCGUAA
This 506-nucleotide ribosomal RNA is filed under the name uncultured bacterium. RNAcentral's name for it is "partial 16S ribosomal RNA". It matches the Rfam family "Bacterial small subunit ribosomal RNA", at positions 30 to 523 of the family's 1533-position model. The record is from RNAcentral.